GUGUUUUCAUUUCUCUUCAUCAGAACACAGCAGCACAUGUUGGAGUGUAGAAGAGUAAAUGCUCUUGAACAAUCAGACAGAGACUAUGGCUUGUGAAUCAAGGAUCUGUUUAUUUCUCUCUGAGAAGUUAAUAACAAUAACUUAGAUUUAAAUAGCGCCUUUCAUGAAACCUAAGGAUGCUUUACAAAGUGUGUGUGUGUGGGGGGGGGGGGGGGGGGGGGCGUAAUGGGAGACAACAAGAGAGGAAUAGAAAAACACAAACAGAGAAGAGAGAGGAUAGAAACACUAGACAAACAGAUGAAGGAGAAAGGGAGUGGGUGGUCAGCUGAGGGGAGUGUUAGAUGAGGCUGAAUGCUUUGCUGAUCAGAUGGUGUUUGAGGAGGUUUUUAAAAAUGACCAGGGGUCUCAUUUAUAAAAGAGUGUGUAAAAUUCAUACAUAAAAAUGUACAUGUGCCAAAAACCCUGAAAUGGCGUGCGCACAAAAUGAUUCAGAUUUAUAAAACCGUUCGUACGCACACCUGCACGCAAUGUUCCCUUUAUAGAUCAUGAUCCACCUGGAAAUAUGCGCACGUAGAUUGGUCCCAUGUUCCGCCCUCUACAUGCCCACAUUCAACCAUAAACGGUCAAUGCAAAGCAGCUCGUGAAUGAAAAUGCAUACAAACAAACGAGGGGGCAGAUCAAAGGUUUCCAGCGCUGGAUCGCGAAAACGGAAGUUUAGACGAAGAAACUAAACUUUCUGACCCAGAAACAAAGGAACUUGUGAAUGAAGUGAAGGAUAAAAUGGACAUAUCGGUAAUUUGCUGCAGCAGGAGGAUCACAAACUGAUGAAAAUUCAGAGAAUGACACCAUGUAGCUGCUGCAUUCACGCUGUCCUAUGUGCCAAAACAUCCACCGUUCAUCAUUACGCACGAGUAUAUCUGCAAUGUUUACAUGUUUACAGGACCCACACUGAUUUCUUCAUAUAGUGGCAGAGAGGACACGUCAGUCAGCAUUCUCCCUCACUAUAUCAUAUUAUUAAUCAAAGGUUUGAUCAACGAACAAAAACUUUUAAUUGUUGGCCACAUAUUUUCGUGGGCAUCUCCGUCUGCACUGUGACUAAUUAUGAUCAAAUAUAUGGCUUAAUGAUCGUGUCAGAGAUGCCCCGACUUAAUGUCCACACUUGAAUUAUCUACAGAAUAAAUACAUGCAGCUGAUGAAGAUGUGCUGAGUAUGGAGGAGGUGAAAUGUGUGAAGCCAUCGCCAUGUCUCUGUGCACUCUUUAUUAAAACUAAAAAUCACAAUUGAUGAUAAAUGCAAGAUAUUGAAAUAUAUUAAUGAAAACUGGAGGCUCUAUGGUCUUUGUGUUAGUCUAAUGUUUAACUCUACAUCAGUGAUUACAUAAGUGUAUAAGUCCGGUCCUCUGAGGUCCGUCCGCGAUAAUGAAGGCGAGACGGCGCUGAUACAAUAUGUAUGUGGAGGACUUUUAUUUUAUUUUUAUUUUUAUUUUUUAUAUAUUGUCAUAAUGAAAGUUACUUAUUGGAAACGGCUCACUACAUGCGUGAUUAUAGCCUAAAUAAAACCAUCGGUUUGAAUGAUUCUGAUGACGUGGAUCUGUCAGUAAAGUUUGAUAUUUAGUGAAAUAGGUUUGCUUUGUUGUUAAGGGAGCGAGCAUUCUGCAGCAUAAAUGAGGCGGUGGUGUAUUCUGAAGCAGAGGGGGAGAGAGGAGUGGUUCUGUCAACACACACAACAACAGGUAUCAGGUUUCUGGUGUGCUCGUGUGAUUUGUUGUGAUGAUGGUGCCGGUCAGACACUACAGUGGGGAUAGCAUGGUCAGUGUAAACAAACUUGCAUCGGGCAGCCCUAUGCACGUAGUGAGGACGGCGCAGGAGUCCGAAAGAUUUAAUGGAAGCAAGGUUGUCCGGAGAGAAGUGACAGGCGAGAUUCCGGAGUUGCAGAGCGGAGUAUGUUAGUAGUACCAUGUCCGCAGCAGGGAGAGCAGCUGCUAGCCGCAGGCUGAAAGCCGCAAGCUACCGGGCGCCAGCCGGGGUCAGGAAAACCGCAGGAAUGAGAGCCAAACCAGGAUAAGGAAAGGACCAGUUUUGUGGCAGACGGGGGACCCGUCUGGACACAAUCUGAGCAGGAGAGCAGCAGCCGGCAGUCUGGUUUUCAGGCAGGCCUCUUCGCCGCCAGCAGCCGAGCCAGAGUAGGGGGGAAGCGGCAGCCAACAGGUGGCGGGCCGCAGGGCGACGGGUCCAAGCCAGGUAAUGAGCCGACGUGGCCGACGAAGAAGGACGGUCCACCAAUAAGGCAGGCGAGGGUCCAGUGAUCACAGACUGGUGAGGAUAUCCUGAUAGCUGUGCGAGAAGCUAACAGCUGAUCGGCGGCUAGCGCUAACAGCUGAUCGUCAUAGAUGACGCCUGUGAGCUGGAACUGGACACAAACACAGUGAACAGAAAACUGAAA
Long non-coding RNA from Labrus mixtus (cuckoo wrasse), 2442 nucleotides. RefSeq lists it as uncharacterized. The record is from RefSeq and is a predicted model, not a curated record. The transcript is spliced from 2 exons. Lineage: Eukaryota; Metazoa; Chordata; Actinopteri; Labriformes; Labridae.